UGCAUCUUUUAUGAGAUGGCCACAGGCCGGCCCCUCUUCCCAGGCUCCACAGUGGAAGAACAGCUGCACUUCAUCUUCCGCAUUUUGGGUGAGGAGGAAGUGUGUUUCUAAGGAGCUAUAGGGACAUGCAGGGAAGACCUGAGAUGUGCAGGGUAACUUGUAUUCCUUACUAGGAACCCCAACUGAGGACACAUGGCCAGGUAUCCUGUCCAAUGAAGAGUUUAGAACAUACAACUACCCCAAGUACCGAGCUGAGGCCCUUCUGAGCCAUGCACCCCGGUGAGGCUGGUGGGUAGGUGGGCAUUAGGGGCCAGAGUGUCUGAACUCAGUAUAAAGCACAUCCCCUUACCUUUGUGUUAGACUUGAUAGCGAUGGAGCUGACCUCCUCACCAAGCUGCUGCAGUUUGAGGGUCGCAAUCGGAUCUCUGCUGAGGAUGCCAUGAAACAUCCAUUCUUUCUCAGCUUGGGGGAGCGGAUCCACAAACUUCCUGACACUACUUCCAUAUUUGCACUAAAGGAGGU
Molecule: long non-coding RNA, 522 nt
Filed under: Rattus norvegicus (Norway rat)
Lineage: Eukaryota; Metazoa; Chordata; Mammalia; Rodentia; Muridae
Description: long non-coding RNA NONRATT030837
Source: RNAcentral